GACGAACGCUGGCGGCGUGCUUAACACAUGCAAGUCGAACGGUGAAGCGCCUUCCUUUUUGGUGGGUGUGGAUGAGUGGCGAACGGGUGAGUAACACGUGAGUAACCUGCCCCCUUCUUCUGGAUAACCGCAUGAAAGUGUGGCUAAUACGGGAUAUUCUGGGUCUGUCGCAUGAUGGGUCUGGGAAAGAUAUUGUUUCGGUUGGGGAUGGGCUCGCGGCCUAUCAGCUUGUUGGUGGGGUGAUGGCCUACCAAGGCGGUGACGGGUAGCCGGCCUGAGAGGGUGGACGGUCACACUGGGACUGAGACACGGCCCAGACUCCUACGGGAGGCAGCAGUGGGGAAUAUUGCACGAUGGGCGCAAGCCUGAUGCAGCGACGCCGCGUGAGGGAUGGAGGCCUUCGGGUUGUGAACCUCUUUCGCCAGUGAAGCAGGCCUGCCUCGUUUGUGGGUGGGUUGACGGUAGCUGGAUAAGAAGCGCCGGCUAACUACGUG
Molecule: ribosomal RNA, 494 nt
Filed under: uncultured bacterium
Lineage: Bacteria
Description: partial 16S ribosomal RNA
Rfam family: Bacterial small subunit ribosomal RNA
Source: RNAcentral